This is a regulatory RNA element of Streptomyces acidiscabies, 159 nucleotides long. It matches the Rfam family "c-di-AMP riboswitch aptamer (ydaO/yuaA leader)". Rfam says of the family: This family represents a conserved RNA structure found upstream of the ydaO and yuaA genes in Bacillus subtilis and related genes in other bacteria. The record is from Rfam. Lineage: Bacteria; Bacillati; Actinomycetota; Actinomycetes; Kitasatosporales; Streptomycetaceae.
GUCGCGCAAGCGCCGUAGGCAGGAGCGGGGGACCCAAGGUAAGUGCUGGGAGCGGUGGUUGACGCCGUGCCCGGCUAGGGGUGAAGUCACGGACGUGACAGGGCAACUCAACCGGCCCUAACCCGACAGCUCACCUCGCAGGCGUCGGUGAGGGGAUCG